RNAcentral lists this microRNA precursor (43 nucleotides) under Canis lupus familiaris (dog). RNAcentral's name for it is "miRNA (ENSCAFG00845024479.1)". Lineage: Eukaryota; Metazoa; Chordata; Mammalia; Carnivora; Canidae. RNAcentral also lists the same sequence under 1 other name. The record is from RNAcentral.
AGGCUGGAAGUCCAAGAUCAAGGUGCUGGCAGGGUUGGUUUCU